GCUGAAAGCAUCUAAGCACGAAACUUGCCCCGAGAUGAGUUCUCCCUGACCCUUUAAGGGUCCUGAAGGAACGUUGAAGACGACGACGUUGAUAGGCCGGGUGUGUAAGCGCAGCGAUGCGUUGAGCUAACCGGUACUAAUGAACCGUGAGGCUUAACCUUACAACGCCGAAGCUGUU
RNAcentral lists this ribosomal RNA (178 nucleotides) under Escherichia coli. Its description in RNAcentral is "partial 23S ribosomal RNA". It matches the Rfam family "Bacterial large subunit ribosomal RNA", at positions 2770 to 2925 of the family's 2925-position model. The record is from RNAcentral. Lineage: Bacteria; Pseudomonadati; Pseudomonadota; Gammaproteobacteria; Enterobacterales; Enterobacteriaceae.